RNAcentral lists this ribosomal RNA (253 nucleotides) under uncultured bacterium. Its description in RNAcentral is "partial 16S ribosomal RNA". It matches the Rfam family "Bacterial small subunit ribosomal RNA", at positions 524 to 776 of the family's 1533-position model. The record is from RNAcentral.
UACAGAGACGUCAAGCGUUGUUCGGAUUCAUUGGGCGUAAAGGGUGCGUAGGCGGUGAGGUAAGUCGGAUGUGAAAUACCAGAGCCCAACUCUGGAAGGGCAUCCGAAACUGCCUCGCUCGAGGACUGGAAGGGAGACUGGAAUUCUCGGUGUAGCGGUGAAAUGCGUAGAUAUCGAGAGGAACACCGGUGGCGAAGGCGGGUCUCUGGACAGUUCCUGACGCUGAGGCACGAAAGCUAGGGGAGCAAACGGG